This 461-nucleotide unclassified non-coding RNA is filed under the name Homo sapiens (human). RNAcentral describes it as "partial NAMA". Lineage: Eukaryota; Metazoa; Chordata; Mammalia; Primates; Hominidae. The record is from RNAcentral.
UGCAGGUUAUCUGGGCUCUUUCUGUGACCUGGGAUUUUACACUCCCCUUCAGUGCAGACACCAAGACAGGAUGGACAAUACAGAGGAUUUUACUAGGGGAAACAUCUGUGAGAUAAAAAUGGGGAGGGAGCUGGUAGAGGCUAGAAGAGAGGAAAGGCUGGGAGAGCCAUCACACCUUGAUGCAAGUCUGACCUAAGUGCAGGAGGGAGGGAAGCAAGUUUGGGUGGAAGCUCCUAGACUGCCUAUAGCAAGGCCAUCAGAGAGUCCUCAAGCCAAAGUCACCUAUCAGAGAAGUUCCCUGUUUCUUGGAGACAGCCUCCUUCCUUGGUUCACAAUGACAGUCCAACUUCUGCCAGUCCUGACUGUCAUUCAAGCCUUUUUGCUAUUUAAGAAUUUUGAGGAAGAAAACCGUCAUGUACUCAAAAUCCUGGUAAUCAGAAGUGUCUGGAGAUUUCGAGCUG